Molecule: long non-coding RNA, 4719 nt
Organism: Hyla sarda
Lineage: Eukaryota; Metazoa; Chordata; Amphibia; Anura; Hylidae
Exons: 3
Source: RefSeq, a predicted model, not a curated record
UUGAAAUUUUUGUUCAGAAUCGCGUAUACACAAUAACAAAUACAUAGCAGUAAUGCCUUAAAGCAGAGGGCCACAUCUUCAGGGGGUAUAGGAGCUUAAGUUUCGUACAAAUGUAGAGGCAUUUAGAGUACAUGAAAAAACAUAAUUCCAGAACUAUAACAAACAGGAACACACAAGGUAACACAAAAUUGUGAGAAGUAGAAAGAACCCAUAUAUACUGGGGUAGUGCAGUGUCAAUCAUCUACUGAAACCAAAUUCAGUUGGUACACAUAAAAGAGAAGCAUUGUCCAUUAAACUCUUUAAGGCAAACUGUAUAGCAAAGGAUGGCUUGUAUGGUUUAUUUAGUGUCUGUGGAGUAAGGGGAGGAGAGCCAAUUGACCCAGCAGGAGGAAAACCUAGAGUAGGAACCAUUUCCUAGAGCUAUUGUUUUUUCGUACAUGCAGGUAAUGUUUAAUUUAUUUACCACUUCAGUGAUAGAGGGAGCUGUUGGUGAUCACUCUUUGGUGAUUGUGAUUUUAGCAAUAAUACAAAUGAUACAUGUCAGGUCUUGUAGUUUAGAUGGAAUGGAGUGCGUGUCAUUAAGGAGUAGUGUUGAGCGGCAUAGGCCAUAUUCGAAUUCGCGAAUAUUCGCGAAUAUAUGGAUGAAUAUUCGUCAUAUAUUCGCGAAUAUUCGCAUAUUCGUAAUAUUCUCGUUUUAUUUUCGCAUAUGUGAAAAUUCGCGUAUGCGAAAAUUAACAUAUGCGAAAAUUAACAUAUACAAAAAUUAGCAUAAACGGAAAUUUGCAUGUGCAAAAAUUAGCAUAUGCUAAUUUUCGCAUAUGCGAAAAUUCGCUCACCUGUCUCACACAGUAGUAUUAGAGCCUUCGUUACACCACACAGGCUGGAAGCAGAGAGGGGUGAUCACUGCGAUGUGUACUGUGAAAAAAAAAAAAAAACGAAUAUUGGUAAUUACGAAUAUAUAGUGCUAUAUUCGCGAAUAUUCGCAAAUUCGCGAAUAUGCGAUAUUCGCGAAUAAAAUUCUCAUUGCGAAUAUUCGCGAGCAACACUAAUAAGGAGCAGUGCAAAUUGUGGAGACCAGGAAACCCGAAGGCAUAGUACUGUUUCCAGAAGUGUAUUACAUGCUGUCCAGAAGGGAGUUAUAGUCGGACAUUCCCAUAAAAUAUGUAUGAGGCUGCCUCUUCCACCACAUUGUCGCCAACAAAGGGGAGAGGAGUCAGGAUAGAUAAGGCAUAAUGUUUCAGGAGUGUAAUACCACUGAAGGGUAGUUUUGGAUAGGGAUUCUAUGUGAGAUACACAUUGAAAUGCUUUAUGUGUAGUGAACGCCCGUGUCCAAUUCUGCUCUAUGAAACUUGGUGGAGUGUGUGAAGGUGGAGUUUAGUAUACUCAACCCUUCUCAACCCUAUCUUCCCCGAGGGUCACUAAGUCGAUCAUGGUAAAAGCUACUGUAUUCCUGACGGCCAAUACCCCCACUUUUGAUUUAGUUUUGUGGAUGAAGUGGCAAAUGGGUGUAAAGGAUGGGUGUUUCAAUCUAAAAGUGUCCUUCUCUAAGAUGUGUGUCUCUUGGGUGCUCAAUACAUCAGCUCCCAAUGAUAAAGCUUCCCUCCACAGGUACGCCCGCUUGUAGGGGCUGUUAAGACCAUUUACAUUAAUACUGACCAAUUUGAUUACCAUAAAGUAACAGAAACAGCAUAGUAAUAGGUGGCAAUAACAUAUAGGGGGUGGACCACGAGCAUUUCCCAGCCAGCGCGCACGGGUCCUUGUGGAACAGACAAUGCUCUAAAGACAAAAGAUCACAACACUAUCUCACAAAACAUAAAAACAUGGUAAAUAGUGCAAACCAAUGUAAUAAAUAACCAUUAAAGGAUAUAACCGGAGAAGGCCGAAGCCUAUCUUCCCGGGUGGGGGUAAUGUCCAUGCCGAAGCCAGACUAGACUUGUGAUCUAAGAAGCCCAUAAGAGAGAAUAGGUGUCAGAGAGUCCAGAGUCAACGAAUUAUGGACCAGUCAUCCUGUAAUCUGCGGAUGGACCCUUGUUAGAUUCCAGGGGGAGAUUCCAUUUUUGUAGCAGGAUCUCACCUUCUUCCGGAGAGCGUACUUCAUGAAGCGCAUCUUCACGGUGUAUCAGUAGGCGAACUGGAAAACCCCAACGAUACUGAAUGUUUGCUGAUCGUAGCGUGGAGGUGAUGGGUUGAAGGGCUCUGUGGAGUUGCAGAGCAGCUGCCGAGAGGUCAGUGUAGAUAGCCACGUGGUGAUAUGGGGCUGGAAGCCGACCAUUGGUACGGGCAAAGUUUAUCAUUUUUUUUCCUUGACGGUGAAGAAAUGUACCCUUGCUAGAAUGUCCCUAGGGAUGGAUUCGUCCAGAUGCUUAGGUCGGGGUACAAAUGUGCUUGGUCAAUUUAUAGCUCUUGCGGUGUACAUGAAGGCAGAGCAGCUUUAAUGAGGGAGCGGACAUAAGUAGGUAUUUCUGCAGCUGGUACAGACUCUGGUAUUCCGCACAGCUUAAUAUUAUUUCGUCUCCUGCGGUCUUCUAUGUCUGUGACUUUUGCUUUAAGCGUGGCUAUGUCGUCUUCCGCAGCAUUAUGAGAGUCUAUAACUUCAUUAUGAGAGGCAGCAAACUCUCCAAACUUUGUCUCAAUGUGAUCCACUCUAGCACCCAAGUCCUCUACUGCAGUAUGUAAAGGAUUAAUCAUAGUUAAAAUGUCCUUCCAUUUUUGCUAUGUGAGGAGCAUAGACUUCAUUUAGGUAUCGGUAACAGCAGUAUUAGUGACAGAGAAUAGUUAUAGGUCGUCUUCCUCUGCAGAAGGGAAGGCAGGAGCCGAGCUCCAGUCAGCUGUGGGUUGUAGUUUAAGCUUCGGGGAGUUGUGCAGCUGCACUACAGGGCUAUGUAGAAGCGUCUCCCCUUGCUCAGAGACUGAGGGAGGCCUGUGUGAGGGAGAAGCCGAGAGUACCUGUCGUCUACAGCGCAGAGAGGUGCCGGGGGAGGACGGUGCAGAGUUCGACAGCUCAGUGUUCCAUGGAAUCUGCAGGCUGUGUAACUUAGGAUCCGAGGUAGAUCUCCGGUGGGUGGCAGACAGUGGUGUUCUUCCGUCAGAAGCUUUGUUUCAUCUAUACUAAAACACUGCCAAAACCCCGACCAGAUGAAGUAUUUCUGUCUAAAAACCGGACAUCAUUUAGAAUGGUAACAUGUGCUUGGAGGUGUCUAUUCACACACUAGGAUGUUCGGAGCAGUUUUCUAUUCUCCCUGGAUAGGGAAUGGUUAAUGCUCUGAAAGAAGGAGAACACGGGUGUGUCUAUUUUAAGCCAGACUUCUGAAUUUAGUGCUGGUUAUUCAGUGCAAUACACUUUGUCUGCUUGUGCUAUAAUGCUGCUAUGAUGUCUUUGUAUGUUACUUUGUAUUUAUUUUGUCAUUUUAUCUGGGUUUUAAGCCAUGGUUAUACAGCAUGCUCCUUGUAUUUUAGUCUGUGUUACAUUAGUCGGUUUUAGGAUUAUGUUUGUUCGUUCUGCUUUUACUGUGUUCACACUGAGUUAGUCUUCCUAGUGUUAUCCGUGCUCUGUAUUUUAUAAUUCCUGUUUGGUCUCCUGGAGUCUAUUAAGACUCAUCCAGUUCUAGUCUUGUAUCUUGAGAAAUAUCAGUCAUGACACCCCUAACAAGUCUGAGUUUGGGAUGGGGGGGGAUUAUGGGCUAGUCCCGGAGUGCCACUUUUCCAGUCACAGCUGCCUAAUUAAUGCAGGGUAAAACUUUUCUGAGAGGGGGGUUGCCUGCAUACAUAUAACUUCCUGAAAGUCCCACAUAGGAUUUGUAACGAGCUGAGCAUUGCUGUCAGCUCAACAUCAUCCGAUGAGAAGAGUCUCCAUCAGCAUCAGCAAAUGCUUGUUAUAAAUCCUUCCUAGGUGUAAUGAAGUACUACCCUACACUCAUCAGGCGGUUGUCAAAGUGUCAAUAGUCCCUUCUGGGUAGGGAGUUGUCGGAGGUUAGUUGCAAAAAAAACAAAAAAAAACUAAGAACAAAUCAUAAUCUUGUGCCCAGCCGCCUCCUGGUAAAAUGCAGCCCUAGGCCUGGGUCUUGGUGGUCUAGUUAAAGAUACAGGGCUGCUUGUCACUACCACUAGAGGAGACUUACUAAAUAAAAAACAUUUUGGUCCCUUUACACCUAAUAUGAGCUAUUUUCAUCCAUACACAGUUCCCCUAGUGGUGAACAAUUUAAUUAAUUUUAAGUUGAAACGAUCUGAUAAAGAGACGUUUGUUAAAUUGUACCAAAAUUAUUAUCCUACUGUCCAGUUCACUGGCUCAGACUGCCCUAGUACAUGGCCAGAAGCCAAAAAACAAAACACCAUAAUUUUAUGGACUAACAUUAAAGGGGUACUCCAUUGGAAACAUCUUAUCCCCUAUCCAAAGGAUGUUAGAUGAGGGAACCCCUGCGAUCUCCGCUGCGGCUCCCUGUCAUUAGGUGCACAGAGCGAACUCCGCUCUGUGCUCGAUUACUUGCGAUGUAAGCUGCCAUGCCGCUUCCAAUCAAAUUUAUGGGAGGAGGCGUGAUGGUUAUGUACUAGGCAUCAUGCCCCUCACAUGAAUGGAAGCUGAAAGCUUCCGUCUUCCGGACGCUUCCGGGACCCCCGUGAUCUAACAUCUUAUGCCUUAUUCUUUGGAUAGGGGAUAAGAUGUUUCCAACGGAGUACCCUUUUAAGUCUUUACUCGUAGCCAUGAGUGAGGACUUUAUAUGA